This 913-nucleotide ribosomal RNA is filed under the name uncultured bacterium. RNAcentral's name for it is "bacterial SSU rRNA". It matches the Rfam family "Bacterial small subunit ribosomal RNA", at positions 33 to 928 of the family's 1533-position model. The record is from RNAcentral.
ACGCUGGCGGCGUGCCUAAUACAUGCAAGUAGAACGCUGAAGAGAGGAGCUUGCUCUUCUUGGAUGAGUUGCGAACGGGUGAGUAACGCGUAGGUAACCUGCCUUGUAGCGGGGGAUAACUAUUGGAAACGAUAGCUAAUACCGCAUAACAAUGGAUGACCCAUGUCAUUUAUUUGAAAGGGGCAAAUGCUCCACUACAAGAUGGACCUGCGUUGUAUUAGCUAGUAGGUGAGGUAACGGCUCACCUAGGCGACGAUACAUAGCCGACCUGAGAGGGUGAUCGGCCACACUGGGACUGAGACACGGCCCAGACUCCUACGGGAGGCAGCAGUAGGGAAUCUUCGGCAAUGGGGGCAACCCUGACCGAGCAACGCCGCGUGAGUGAAGAAGGUUUUCGGAUCGUAAAGCUCUGUUGUAAGUCAAGAACGAGUGUGAGAGUGGAAAGUUCACACCGUGACGGUAGCUUACCAGAAAGGGACGGCUAACUACGUGCCAGCAGCCGCGGUAAUACGUAGGUCCCGAGCGUUGUCCGGAUUUAUUGGGCGUAAAGCGAGCGCAGGCGGUUUGAUAAGUCUGAAGUUAAAGGCUGUGGCUCAACCAUAGUUCGCUUUGGAAACUGUCAAACUUGAGUGCAGAAGGGGAGAGUGGAAUUCCAUGUGUAGCGGUGAAAUGCGUAGAUAUAUGGAGGAACACCGGUGGCGAAAGCGGCUCUCUGGUCUGUAACUGACGCUGAGGCUCGAAAGCGUGGGGAGCGAACAGGAUUAGAUACCCUGGUAGUCCACGCCGUAAACGCUGAGUGCUAGGUGUUGGAUCCUUUCCGGGAUUCAGUGCCGCAGCUAACGCAUUAAGCACUCCGCCUGGGGAGUACGACCGCAAGGUUGAAACUCAAAGGAAUUGACGGGGGCCCGCACAA